RNAcentral lists this ribosomal RNA (497 nucleotides) under uncultured bacterium. RNAcentral describes it as "partial 16S ribosomal RNA". It matches the Rfam family "Bacterial small subunit ribosomal RNA", at positions 28 to 507 of the family's 1533-position model. The record is from RNAcentral.
GAUGAACGCUGGCGGCGUGCCUAAUACAUGCAAGUCGAGCGAACAGACGAGGAGCUUGCUCCUCUGACGUUAGCGGCGGACGGGUGAGUAACACGUGGAUAACCUACCUAUAAGACUGGGAUAACUUCGGGAAACCGGAGCUAAUACCGGAUAAUAUAUUGAACCGCAUGGUUCAAUAGUGAAAGACGGUUUUGCUGUCACUUAUAGAUGGAUCCGCGCCGCAUUAGCUAGUUGGUAAGGUAACGGCUUACCAAGGCGACGAUGCGUAGCCGACCUGAGAGGGGGGUCGGCCACACUGGAACUGAGACACGGUCCAGACUCCUACGGGAGGCAGCAGUAGGGAAUCUUCCGCAAUGGGCGAAAGCCUGACGGAGCAACGCCGCGUGAGUGAUGAAGGUCUUCGGAUCGUAAAACUCUGUUAUUAGGGAAGAACAAAUGUGUAAGUAACUAUGCACGUCUUGACGGUACCUAAUCAGAAAGCCACGGGUAACCACGUG